AGAGUUUGAUCAUGGCUCAGAUUGAACGCUGGCGGCAGGCCUAACACAUGCAAGUCGAACGGUAGCACAGAGAGCUUGCUCUCGGGUGACGAGUGGCGGACGGGUGAGUAAUGUCUGGGAAACUGCCUGAUGGAGGGGGAUAACUACUGGAAACGGUAGCUAAUACCGCAUAACGUCGCAAGACCAAAGAGGGGGACCUUCGGGCCUCUUGCCAUCAGAUGUGCCCAGAUGGGAUUAGCUAGUAGGUGGGGUAACGGCUCACCUAGGCGACGAUCCCUAGCUGGUCUGAGAGGAUGACCAGCCACACUGGAACUGAGACACGGUCCAGACUCCUACGGGAGGCAGCA
RNAcentral lists this ribosomal RNA (347 nucleotides) under uncultured Enterobacter sp. RNAcentral's name for it is "bacterial SSU rRNA". It matches the Rfam family "Bacterial small subunit ribosomal RNA", at positions 8 to 353 of the family's 1533-position model. The record is from RNAcentral. Lineage: Bacteria; Pseudomonadati; Pseudomonadota; Gammaproteobacteria; Enterobacterales; Enterobacteriaceae.